GAUGAAGAACGUAGCGAAACGCGAUAUUUCUUGUGAAUUGCAGAAGUGAAUCAUCAGUUUUUGAACGCACAUUGCACUUUGGGGUAUCCCCCAAAGUAUACUUGUUUGAGCGUUGUUUCUCUCUUGGAAUUGCUUUGCUCUUCUAAAAUUUCGAAUCAAAUUCGUUUGAAAAACAACACUAUUCAACCUCAGAUCAAGUAGGAUUACCCGCUGAACUUAAGCAUAUCAAUAAGCGGGGA
RNAcentral lists this unclassified non-coding RNA (239 nucleotides) under soil metagenome. Its description in RNAcentral is "partial contains 5.8S ribosomal RNA, internal transcribed spacer 2, and large subunit ribosomal RNA". The stretch from base 1 to 115 matches the Rfam family "5.8S ribosomal RNA", at positions 35 to 154 of the family's 154-position model. The record is from RNAcentral.